RNAcentral lists this microRNA (32 nucleotides) under Canis lupus familiaris (dog). RNAcentral's name for it is "miRNA (ENSCAFG00000058403.1, ENSCAFG00845025596.1)". Lineage: Eukaryota; Metazoa; Chordata; Mammalia; Carnivora; Canidae. The record is from RNAcentral.
AGGUUGGAAGUCCAAGAUCAAGGUGCUGGCAG